Molecule: ribosomal RNA, 715 nt
Filed under: Colletes claripes
Lineage: Eukaryota; Metazoa; Arthropoda; Insecta; Hymenoptera; Colletidae
Description: eukaryotic LSU rRNA
Rfam family: Eukaryotic large subunit ribosomal RNA
Source: RNAcentral
GAAAAGAACUUUGAAGAGAGAGUUCAAGAGUACGUGAAACCGUUCAGGGGUAAACCUGAGAAACCCAAAAGAUCGAAUGGGGAGAUUCAUCGACGACGAAGCUGGCUCCCGUUGGCGUGCGAUUCCCCCGUUGGGAAUCUCGGUUCCAGAACGCGGGGUACACCCCUUCGGCGAAUAACCGGCGACGUAGUCGUGCACUUCUCCCUUAGUAGAACGUCGCGACCCGUUGUGUGUCGGUCUACGGCCUGGGCUAUUUGCCUGUCGCGGUGGCAUUCGUUCGCUCGCGGCAGAGGCUCGGUCGCCCGGCCGGCUGCACGACGGUACUCCGACGGUAUCGGGCCGCAACCAAUCCAUUCUCGAAUGGUAUAUGCGUCCAGGCCCGUCGCAAGCUCGGACAGCACCCGGAGCGUGUGGACGCAGCGCCCUCCCCGGGUCUGGCCAGCUGUUAGCAGACGGUGUCCUCGGACCGGCCAAGCUUCGAAUUACCGGUCAGCGACGCUAUUGCUUUGGGUACUCUCAGGACCCGUCUUGAAACACGGACCAAGGAGUCUAACAUGUGCGCGAGUCAUUGGGACAUUGAAACCUAAAGGCGAAAUGAAAGUGAAAGUCGUCGUAAGCGUCGACCAAGGGAGGAUGGGCCGCGUCACGUCGCGGCCUCGCACUCCCGGGGCGUCUCGUUCUCGUUGAGAAGAGGCGCACCCAGAGCGUACACGUU